GACGAACGCUGGCGGCGUGCUUAACACAUGCAAGUCGAACGAUGAAGCGGGUGCUUGCACUCGUGGAUUAGUGGCGAACGGGCGAGUAACACGUGAGUAACCUGUCCUUUUCUUUGGGAUAACGGCUGGAAACGGCUGCUAAUACUGGAUAUUCAGGCUGCAUCGCAUGGUGUGGUUUGGAAAGGUUUUUUCUGGGAUUGGGUGGGCUCGCGGCCUAUCAGCUUGUUGGUGGGGUGAUGGCUUACCAAGGCUUUGACGGGUAGCCGGCCUGAGAGGGUGGUCGGUCGCACUGGGACUGAGAUACGGCCCAGACUCCUACGGGAGGCAGCAGUGGGGAAUAUUGCACAAUGGACGAAAGUUUGAUGCAGCGACGCCGCGUGGAGGGUGUAGGCCUUCGGGUUGUGAACUCCUUUUUCUCGCGAAAAAGGCACAGUUUUGGCUGUGUUGAUGGUAGUGGGUGAAGAAGCGCCGGCUAACUACGUG
This 483-nucleotide ribosomal RNA is filed under the name uncultured bacterium. RNAcentral's name for it is "partial 16S ribosomal RNA". It matches the Rfam family "Bacterial small subunit ribosomal RNA", at positions 28 to 507 of the family's 1533-position model. The record is from RNAcentral.